Long non-coding RNA from Callithrix jacchus (white-tufted-ear marmoset), 570 nucleotides. RefSeq lists it as uncharacterized. The record is from RefSeq and is a predicted model, not a curated record. NCBI's taxonomy places the organism in Eukaryota, Metazoa, Chordata, Mammalia, Primates, Cebidae.
AUUCCGAAGGAUUCUCGGGGUAUGAAAUCAGCUCAUCAUCCUGGAGAACAGAGGCUGCAGGGAGGCGCGGUGACCUCGCGGGAAAAGACGCAGCGCGAAUCGAACCCGCCAGUCCCCGUGCGAAUUCGUUAAGGGAAACAACGGUUGGGACUUGCAGUCAACUUUGGAAACGAAUUUAAAAGUCACCUUGAUCAGCGUUCCUUACUGAGGAGCCGGGGGAGAAAAGAGCCUCAUAAUCCCUCUUCGCUAACUCCUCUCUGCACCCUCAUUCCGAAGCGACUGACCUUCAACAGAAUGUAUGUCUAAAAAGACAAAAUCAACGAAAUGCCCCAAAACAUCUAUACUUGGAAUAUACGGAGAAAACUAGAUGCAUAAGGAGACACUUUUAAAGUAGGAUGAAAUGUACAGACUGUGCAAAACUUUGGAAUCUUUGGAGAGAUGUUUAGACAACUGAUGAAGUGCUUGCGGUUGGAUUGAUGAUAAAUACCGAGAAGCCUAAGCAGUAAAAACAAAAACAACAAGAAAAGACAAUUUUGUACUAAUACUGGGGGAAUAAAACUUAACAAUGUA